UGGGGAAUAUUGGACAAUGGGCGCAAGCCUGAUCCAGCCAUGCCGCGUGAGUGAUGAAGGCCCUAGGGUUGUAAAGCUCUUUCACCGGUGAAGAUAAUGACGGUAACCGGAGAAGAAGCCCCGGCUAACUUCGUGCCAGCAGCCGCGGUAAUACGAAGGGGGCUAGCGUUGUUCGGAUUUACUGGGCGUAAAGCGCACGUAGGCGGACUUUUAAGUCAGGGGUGAAAUCCCGGGGCUCAACCCCGGAACUGCCUUUGAUACUGGAAGUCUUGAGUAUGGUAGAGGGGAGUGGAAUUCCGAGUGUAGAGGUGAAAUUCGUAGAUAUUCGGAGGAACACCAGUGGCGAAGGCGGCUCACUGGACCAUUACUGACGCUGAGGUGCGAAAGCGUGGGGAGCAAACAGG
This 404-nucleotide ribosomal RNA is filed under the name Pseudomonas sp. RNAcentral's name for it is "partial 16S ribosomal RNA". It matches the Rfam family "Bacterial small subunit ribosomal RNA", at positions 355 to 776 of the family's 1533-position model. Lineage: Bacteria; Pseudomonadati; Pseudomonadota; Gammaproteobacteria; Pseudomonadales; Pseudomonadaceae. RNAcentral also lists the same sequence under 4 other names. The record is from RNAcentral.